GGAGCGAACCAGGGGAACUGAAACAUCUAAGUACCCUGAGGAAAAGAAAUCAACCGAGAUUCCCUUAGUAGUGGCGAGCGAACGGGGACCAGCCCUUAAGUUGGAUCGAGAUUAGCGGAACGCUCUGGAAAGGGCGGCCAUAGUGGGUGAUAGCCCUGUACGCGAAAGUCUCUUUGCAAUGAAAUCGAGUAGGACGGGGCACGAGAAACCUUGUCUGAAUAUGGGGGGACCAUCCUCCAAGGCUAAAUACUACUGACUGACCGAUAGUGAACCAGUACCGUGAGGGAAAGGCGAAAAGAACCGCGGAGAGCGGAGUGAAAUAGAUCCUGAAACCGUAUGCGUACAAGCAGUGGGAGCCCACUUUGUUGGGUGACUGCGUACCUUUUGUAUAAUGGGUCAGCGACUUAUUUUCAGUGGCAAGCUUAACCGAAUAGGGGAGGCGUAGCGAAAGCGAGUCUUAAUAGGGCGUCUAGUCGCUGGGAAUAGACCCGAAACCGGGCGAUCUAUCCAUGGGCAGGUUGAAGGUUAGGUAACACUGACUGGAGGACCGAACCGACUACCGUUGAAAAGUUAGCGGAUGACCUGUGGAUCGGAGUGAAAGGCUAAUCAAGCUCGGAGAUAGCUGGUUCUCCUCGAAAGCUAUUUAGGUAGCGCCUCAUGUAUCACUGUAGGGGGUAGAGCACUGUUUCGGCUAGGGGGUCAUCCCGACUUACCAAACCGAUGCAAACUCCGAAUACCUACAAGUGCCGAGCAUGGGAGACACACGGCGGGUGCUAACGUCCGUCGUGAAAAGGGAAACAACCCAGACCGUCAGCUAAGGUCCCAAAGUCAUGGUUAAGUGGGAAACGAUGUGGGAAGGCUUAGACAGCUAGGAGGUUGGCUUAGAAGCAGCCACCCUUUAAAGAAAGCGUAAUAGCUCACUAGUCGAGUCGGCCUGCGCGGAAGAUGUAACGGGGCUCAAACCAUGCACCGAAGCUACGGGUAUCAUCUUUUGAUGAUGCGGUAGAGGAGCGUUCUGUAAGCCUGUGAAGGUGAGUUGAGAAGCUUGCUGGAGGUAUCAGAAGUGCGAAUGCUGACAUGAGUAACGACAAUGGGUGUGAAAAACACCCACGCCGAAAGACCAAGGUUUCCUGCGCAACGUUAAUCGACGCAGGGUUAGUCGGUCCCUAAGGCGAGGCUGAAAAGCGUAGUCGAUGGAAAACAGGUUAAUAUUCCUGUACUUCUGGUUAUUGCGAUGGAGGGACGGAGAAGGCUAGGCCAGCCUGGCGUUGGUUGUCCAGGUUUAAGGUGGUAGGCUGA
This 1299-nucleotide ribosomal RNA is filed under the name Pseudomonas alliivorans. RNAcentral's name for it is "partial 23S ribosomal RNA". It matches the Rfam family "Bacterial large subunit ribosomal RNA", at positions 176 to 1528 of the family's 2925-position model. Lineage: Bacteria; Pseudomonadati; Pseudomonadota; Gammaproteobacteria; Pseudomonadales; Pseudomonadaceae. The record is from RNAcentral.